RNAcentral lists this ribosomal RNA (432 nucleotides) under uncultured Rickettsiales bacterium. Its description in RNAcentral is "bacterial SSU rRNA". It matches the Rfam family "Bacterial small subunit ribosomal RNA", at positions 342 to 791 of the family's 1533-position model. The record is from RNAcentral. Lineage: Bacteria; Pseudomonadati; Pseudomonadota; Alphaproteobacteria; Rickettsiales.
CGGGGGGCAGCAGUGGGGAAUAUUGGACAAUGGGGGAAACCCUGAUCCAGCAAUGCCGCGUGAAUGAAGAAGGCCUUAGGGUUGUAAAAUUCUUUUGUUCGUGAAGAUAAUGACGGUAGCGGACGAAUAAGCCCUGGCUAACUCUGUGCCAGCAGCCGCGGUAAUACAGAGAGGGCAAGCGUUGUCCGGAAUGACUGGGCGUAAAGCGCGCGCAGGCGGUUUUUUAAGUUGGAUGUGAAAUCCCCGGGCUCAACCUGGGAACUGCAUUCGAUACUGGAAAACUAGAGGCCGAGAGAGGAAAGCGGAAUGACGAGUGUAGAGGUGAAAUUCGUAGAUAUUCGUCGGAACACCAGAGGCGAAGGCGGCUUUCUGGCUCGGACCUGACGCUCAGGCGCGAAAGCGUGGGGAGCAAACAGGAUUAGAUACCCCAGU